RNAcentral lists this small RNA (578 nucleotides) under Pan troglodytes (chimpanzee). RNAcentral's name for it is "processed transcript". Lineage: Eukaryota; Metazoa; Chordata; Mammalia; Primates; Hominidae. The record is from RNAcentral.
CAAACGGAUUUAUGAGCAGCUUCCAGAAGUACAGAAAAAGAGAGAAGAAGAGAAGAGAAAAUCAGAAUAUAAGUCAUACCGGCUGCGAGCCCAGCUAUAUAAAAAGAGAGUGACCAAUCAACUUCUGGGGAGAAAAGUUCCCUGGGACUGACACAAGUUUAUUUUCCUCAGAGCCUUGGAAUUCUAUUUUAUGAACCUAGAGAAGCAGAAUCCUUACUUUUCUAAGGCCCAAAGUAAUGGAGGAAGGUUUUCAACAGCCUCACUCUAAGUUCAGCAAACCCCAGUACAAAGAUUGGCAAGGGCCAGUCAUCCACCGAGAAGGCUUCCUGGGAGGCUGGAUCCAAGAGCAGGCCCUGCCCUCAAGCACAGUUCAGAGCUUUCAGAUCUUGCCCCCUGGGCUCCCUGCCAUGAAGAGGACACUGGGAAAAGAACCCAUGGUGCAUGAGGUCAACUCAUAGUUCUUCCCUUUCUUGCUGGGCAAGGUAAUGAAGCACUUUUGGCCAAUUUACCUGUAAAAUGAGAGGGUUAAUACCUCUAAGCCCCUCUUUACAUAAACUCUAAAACAAUGUGACUAUUUC